Molecule: ribosomal RNA, 491 nt
Filed under: uncultured bacterium
Lineage: Bacteria
Description: partial 16S ribosomal RNA
Rfam family: Bacterial small subunit ribosomal RNA
Source: RNAcentral
AGUGACGCUGGCGGUAGGCCUAACACAUGCCAGUCGCACGGCAGCACAGUAAGAGCUUGCUCUUACGGGUGGCGAGUGGCGGACGGGUGAGGAAUACAUCGGAAUCUACUUUUUCGUGGGGGAUAACGUAGGGAAACUUACGCUAAUACCGCAUACGACCUACGGGUGAAAGCAGGGGAUCUUCGGACCUUGCGCGAUUGAAUGAGCCGAUGUCGGAUUAGCUAGUUGGCGGGGUAAAGGCCCACCAAGGCGACGAUCCGUAGCUGGUCUGAGAGGAUGAUCAGCCACACUGGAACUGAGACACGGUCCAGACUCCUACGGGAGGCAGUAGUGGGGAAUAUUGGACAAUGGGCGCAAGCCUGAUCCAGCCAUACCGCGUGGGUGAAGAAGGCCUUCGGGUUGUAAAGCCCUUUUGUUGGGAAAGAAAAGCAGCAGGUUAAUACCCCGCUGUUCUGACGGUACCCAAAGAAUAAGCACCGGCUAACUUCGUG